CAAGUCCUCCAACUCAUACGACCGUAUGGGUCGUUUGUCACUAUCCAUAAAUACGACCCACACGAGCGUUCUCUAAAUUAGCGCCCCUAUUGGCAACAGGAGGUAUGAUAAAUGAACUUUCGCCUAAAUGCAUUGUGGGUUUAUUUUAACAUGUUUGCUAUUUGCGUUUUGAAUUGUUUGAUUUAAACUCUCCCAGAUGUUCGUGGAUUUUGAUGAUAUGGAUUUUUAGAUGACUUCGAGACAUGUACAGUUUUGCAGUUUCUUCAUAUCACAUACAUCUCCAGCUCCUACAACAACAUUCAGUGUCCAGCAGCUCUUUAUGAUGCUCUCUCUCUCUCUCUCUCUCUCUCUCUCUCUCUCUCUCUCUCUCUCUCUCUCUCUCUCUCUCUCUCUCUCUCUCUCUCUCUCAUUUUCCUUUCCUAUUUUUCUGAACUGUAAUUCAUAAAUAAGUCACACAUAUUUUUCUUUCUUUCUCUUGUUCAUCAUGGCAUAUUUUCACAGCUCAGAAUCAGAUUUUGAUCAGUUCUUGUAUUAACAGGGAACUUGUACUCGAAGCUCAACUUGAAGAAGUUUCCAGUGAAGAUGAAGUCCUUCAAAGGUUCGACACAGCUGAAAAGGAAGACCAUGGGCCUGUCAAACCUUGUUUGUGGAGAGGGAUGAAUUUGACCAUCUUGUGUGUUUACGGAGAAGACCAAAAGCUGCUAAGGCAGAUAUUUCCAGAGGUACAAACAGAGCGGAUGGUUGCAUGAUGGCCUCUUUCAGGUUUGUCAACUGAAUGUCUACUAGUGUGGCUCAGCAAGUUCCUGUCAUGAUCAGCCCUCUCCAAGAAAGCUGAAGAGCAAAAACACAAAGAACAUCAGUCCUGUUGGGGAUGAGGAAUGAACAUGGCUCUAUUGUGCCCAAACAGAAAAGAGUGAAAAGUCCUAGAAUGAACAAAUCAUCAGGGCAUCAUUUCUGGAAUUUGGGCAGAAAAUGACUGAAUAUGAAAGACUGCAGUAGAAGGAAAGCUGGUACUGAGAACAUUUGUCUUCACUCCAGACUAAAGAGAAGCGGGUCUGAGGCCAGAGAUGGAGGAGUCAGUGGUCACCAAAUGCAGCGCUGCAGCCUGAAACUGUGAAGACUGAAUUCCCAAACAGCUGUGUGACUGCACAGAUGUUACGGCCAUAAAAGAAACUUCACAACUGAGAGCCCAUACCUCCAACAACCUUCAACAGGAAUCAAUGGACAUCUACGCAAGGUUUUUCUUUUGUUGAGGACCGUCAGAGACUCCAGCCACACGAGCCAUGGAUUGCUCUCAACAUCACCAUCAGACAGACAUUAUCACAGAACCAGCACCAGCAGACUGCAAAACAAGUUCCUUCAACAGGCAAUCAGACUGAACUGAACUCGUACCAGUAACACCACACACACACACACACACACACACACACACACACAUACACACACCAGCAGCCUCAUACUGUGUGCACUGCACUCUAUCAGCUACACUGACUGGACUCUGACUCACUAUUAUUCUGCAACCUGAUAUUCUGUUUGCACUAAUUCAUACUGUACUGAAAGUGAAAGUGACGUGACAUACAGUCAAGUAUGGUGACCCAUACUCAGAAUUUGUGCUCUGCAUUUAACCCAUCCGAAGUGCACACACACAGAGCAGUGAACACACACACACUGUGAACACACACCCGGAGCAGUGGGCAGAGGUAUAUCUACAGUAUACAGUGAUUGUUGUUAAUUGUUUUCAUUUUGUUCUCUCUGUAUAGUAUAGUAUUGCACUAUAUUUUCUACCUGUAUUGAGCUCUUAUGUAUACGGUUUAUAUUUUUGAUACUGUAUAUGUGUUGCAAAUAUAUUCAGUACUUGUCAUGCUGCAGUUUGCAGAAAAGCAUUUUACCACCUGUAUACUUGCAUUCAUGGUAUUGUGAUAAUAAAAUGAUUUGAUUUGAA
This is a long non-coding RNA of Carassius gibelio (silver crucian carp), 1942 nucleotides long. RefSeq lists it as uncharacterized. Lineage: Eukaryota; Metazoa; Chordata; Actinopteri; Cypriniformes; Cyprinidae. The transcript is spliced from 8 exons. The record is from RefSeq and is a predicted model, not a curated record.